RNAcentral lists this ribosomal RNA (253 nucleotides) under uncultured bacterium. RNAcentral's name for it is "partial 16S ribosomal RNA". It matches the Rfam family "Bacterial small subunit ribosomal RNA", at positions 524 to 776 of the family's 1533-position model. The record is from RNAcentral.
UACGGAGGGUGCAAGCGUUUUUCGGAAUCACUGGGCGUAAAGCGCGUGUAGGCGGCCUUCUAAGUCUGAUGUGAAAGCCCGGGGCUCACCCCCGGAAGUGCAUUGGAUACUGGGAGGCUGGAGUACCGGAGAGGAGGGUGGAAUUCCUGGUGUAGCGGUGAAAUGCGUAGAUAUCAGGAGGAACACCGGUGGCGAAGGCGGCCCUCUGGACGGAUACUGACGCUGAGACGCGACAGCGUGGGGAGCAAACAGG